Molecule: transfer RNA, 67 nt
Filed under: Spilarctia alba
Lineage: Eukaryota; Metazoa; Arthropoda; Insecta; Lepidoptera; Erebidae
Description: tRNA-Ala
Rfam family: tRNA
About the family: Transfer RNA (tRNA) molecules are approximately 80 nucleotides in length. Their secondary structure includes four short double-helical elements and three loops (D, anti-codon, and T loops).
Source: RNAcentral
AGGAUUAUAGUUUAACUUAAAACAUUUGAUUUGCAUUCAAAAAAUAUUAAAUAAUUAAUUUAUCUUA